GGAAGUAAAAAUCGUAACAAGGUUUCCGUAGGUGUACCUGCGGAAGGAUCAUUAUUGUAUAACCGAGGUGCGAGAGCUGUCGCUGACCCGAAAGGUCGUGCACGCCCGAGUGCCCUCACACACAUCCAUCUCACCCCUAUGUGCACCACCGCGUGGGUCCCCCUUUGGCUUGUUCGGAGGGGGGCUUACGUUUUCACACAAACUUUGUAUGCAGUGUAGAAUGUAUUUUUUGUUUUUGCGAUCACGCAAUCAAUACAACUUUCAACAACGGAUCUCUUGGCUCUC
This 285-nucleotide unclassified non-coding RNA is filed under the name plant metagenome. Its description in RNAcentral is "partial contains small subunit ribosomal RNA, internal transcribed spacer 1, and 5.8S ribosomal RNA". The stretch from base 1 to 54 matches the Rfam family "Eukaryotic small subunit ribosomal RNA", at positions 1778 to 1831 of the family's 1831-position model. The record is from RNAcentral.